RNAcentral lists this ribosomal RNA (317 nucleotides) under uncultured soil bacterium. RNAcentral's name for it is "bacterial SSU rRNA". It matches the Rfam family "Bacterial small subunit ribosomal RNA", at positions 26 to 338 of the family's 1533-position model. The record is from RNAcentral.
AGAGUGAACGCUGGCGGUAGGCCUAACACAUGCAAGUCGAACGGCAGCACAGUGGUAGCAAUACCAUGGGUGGCGAGUGGCGGACGGGUGAGGAAUACAUCGGAAUCUACCUUUUCGUGGGGGAUAACGUAGGGAAACUUACGCUAAUACCGCAUACGCCCUUCGGGGGAAAGCCGGGGAUCGCAAGACCUGGCGCGGAUAGAUGAGCCGAUGUCGGAUUAGCUAGUUGGUGAGGUAAUGGCUCACCAAGGCGACGAUCCGGUAGCUGGUCUGAGAGGAUGAUCAGCCACACUGGAACUGAGACACGGUCCAGACCU